CAAAGGGAUCCCUGAGUAAUGGCGAAAGGGGAUGCCAAUGAAUCCCGUCCUCUGGGGAAAUGUGGCGUAUGGAGGCGGAAUUUCUGGACUGUGGUGUGGAACGAGUCCCCCUGAACGGGGCAGCCGUAGCGGGUGAAAGCCCCCUAUUUCCUUAUCCACUCUGGAGCCUCCGUUUCUCCUGAGAGUCGGGUUGCUUGAAAGUGCAGCCCAAAGUGGGUGGUAUGCUCCACCUAAGGCUAAAUAUCACCGAGAAUCCGAUAGUAAACAAGUACCGUGAGGGAAAGUUGAAAAGAACUUUGAAGAGAGAGUUCAAUAGUACGUGAAACUGCUUAGGGGUAAGCGGGUGGGCCCUCGAAGUCCGAACUCGGUUCAACUCGUGCGACCGAACGGCGCUUUUUAUCAGGAACCAUAUCGAACCUUGGAGGUGCUACGCACGUGUGCAUCUUCCCGGUUAGUAGGGAGCCGAGACCGGUUGGUCAGCUUUCAGAAGAAUGAAGGUAGCCUGUCGACGGCGUUGGCGGGUGUUACAACAGUGUUGCUGUUAGCAGCGACCGUUACGAACGUGCUAAGCCAUCUUCCUUUUGCCCUCUACGCUUGCGUGUUCAGCCCUCACACUUAGGUGUGGAGAUGGCCGAGCUCUUCGGCUAGUAGGUUGGGUCCCACCCGUCCCGUCUUGAAACACGGACCAAGGAGUCUAACGCGUGUGCGAGUCCCCGAGUGUUGAAUAACCUCUAGGGCGUAAUGAGAGUGAAGGUGUCUGUUGGGAUCCGUCGGCGCACCAACCCGUCCCGUCGCUUUGUCGGUGGGGCGGAGUAAGAGCACACGCUGGACCCGAAAGAUGGUGACUAUGCCUGGGCAUGAAGCCAGAGGAACUCUGGUGGAGGCCGAAUUCUGACGUGCAAAUCGAUCCCUGGAUAGGG
Molecule: ribosomal RNA, 920 nt
Filed under: Pseudochthonius sp. 873A
Lineage: Eukaryota; Metazoa; Arthropoda; Arachnida; Pseudoscorpiones; Chthoniidae
Description: eukaryotic LSU rRNA
Rfam family: Eukaryotic large subunit ribosomal RNA
Source: RNAcentral